This 30-nucleotide non-coding RNA is filed under the name Mus musculus (house mouse). Lineage: Eukaryota; Metazoa; Chordata; Mammalia; Rodentia; Muridae. The record is from RNAcentral.
GAGACCUACGUAAGAACAUUGGAAGAAGAU